CCUACGGGUGGCAGCAGUGAGGAAUAUUGGUCAAUGGUCGGGAGACUGAACCAGCCAAGCCGCGUGAGGGAGGAAGGUACAGAGUAUCGUAAACCUCUUUUGUCAGGGAACAAAGGCGGGGACGUGUCCCCGGAUGAGUGUACCUGAAGAAAAAGCAUCGGCUAACUCCGUGCCAGCAGCCGCGGUAAUACGGAGGAUGCGAGCGUUAUCCGGAUUUAUUGGGUUUAAAGGGUGCGCAGGCGGUCUGUUAAGUCAGCGGUCAAAGCCCGGGGCUCAACCCCGGACCGCCGGUGAAACUGGCAGGCUCGAGUUGGAGAGAAGUAUGCGGAAUGCGCGGUGUAGCGGUGAAAUGCAUAGAUAUCGCGCAGAACUCCGAUUGCGAAGGCAGCAUGCCGGCUCCAAACUGACGCUGAGGCACGAAAGCGUGGGUAUCGAACAGGAUUAGAUACCCUUGUAGUC
RNAcentral lists this ribosomal RNA (459 nucleotides) under uncultured bacterium. RNAcentral's name for it is "partial 16S ribosomal RNA". It matches the Rfam family "Bacterial small subunit ribosomal RNA", at positions 338 to 795 of the family's 1533-position model. The record is from RNAcentral.